UACGUAGGGGGCUAGCGUUGUCCGGAAUCAUUGGGCGUAAAGCGCGUGUAGGCGGUUCGGUAAGUCUGCUGUGAAAGUCGGGGGCUCAACCCUCGGAUGCCGGUGGAUACUGUCGGACUAGAGUACGGAAGAGGCGAGUGGAAUUCCUGGUGUAGCGGUGAAAUGCGCAGAUAUCAGGAGGAACACCGAUUGCGAAGGCAGCUCGCUGGGACGUUACUGACGCUGAGACGCGAAAGCGUGGGGAGCAAACAGG
RNAcentral lists this ribosomal RNA (253 nucleotides) under uncultured bacterium. RNAcentral describes it as "partial 16S ribosomal RNA". It matches the Rfam family "Bacterial small subunit ribosomal RNA", at positions 524 to 776 of the family's 1533-position model. The record is from RNAcentral.